RNAcentral lists this ribosomal RNA (984 nucleotides) under Synechococcus sp. P1. RNAcentral's name for it is "bacterial LSU rRNA". It matches the Rfam family "Bacterial large subunit ribosomal RNA", at positions 1945 to 2925 of the family's 2925-position model. The record is from RNAcentral. Lineage: Bacteria; Bacillati; Cyanobacteriota; Cyanophyceae; Synechococcales; Synechococcaceae.
ACGGUCCUAAGGUAGCGAAAUUCCUUGUCGGGUAAGUUCCGACCUGCACGAAUGGUGUAACCAUGGCCACGCUGUCUCCACCCGAGACUCAGUGAAAUUGAAAUCGCAGUGAAGAUGCUGUGUACCCGCACCUAGACGGAAAGACCCCGUGAACCUUUACUACAGCUUGGCACUGAACAUUGAACCUACAUGUGUAGGAUAGGUGGGAGGCUUUGAAGCACAGUCGCUAGAUUGUGUGGAGCCGUCCUUGAAAUACCACCCUUGUAUGUUUGAUGUUCUAACAUUGUUCCCUUAUCGGGAAUGUGGACAGUGUCUGGUGGGUAGUUUGACUGGGGCGGUCUCCUCCCAAAUAGUAACGGAGGAGCACGAAGGUUAGCUAAUCACGGUCGGACAUCGUGAGGUUAGUGCAAUGGCAUAAGCUAGCUUAACUGCGAGACAGACACGUCGAGCAGGUACGAAAGUAGGUCAUAGUGAUCCGGUGGUUCUGUAUGGAAGGGCCAUCGCUCAACGGAUAAAAGGUACUCCGGGGAUAACAGGCUGAUACCGCCCAAGAGUUCAUAUCGACGGCGGUGUUUGGCACCUCGAUGUCGGCUCAUCACAUCCUGGGGCUGAAGCCGGUCCCAAGGGUAUGGCUGUUCGCCAUUUAAAGUGGUACGCGAGCUGGGUUUAGAACGUCGUGAGACAGUUCGGUCCCUAUCUGGUGUGGGCGUUGGAUGAUUGAUGGGAGCUGCUCCUAGUACGAGAGGACCGGAGUGGACGAACCGCUGGUGUUCGGGUUGUCAUGCCAAUGGCAUUGCCCGGUAGCUAUGUUCGGAACGGAUAACCGCUGAAAGCAUCUAAGCGGGAAGCCGGCCCAAAGAUGAGUCAUCCCUGACCUUUAAGGUCUGGAAGGGUUGUUAUAGACGAUGACGUUGAUAGGCAGGGUGUGGAAGCGUUGUAAGGCGUUAAGCUAACCUGUACUAAUUGCCCGAGAGGCUUAACCAU